AGUGAACACUGGCGGUAGGCCUAACACAUGCAAGUCGAACGGCAGCACAGUAAGAGCUUGCUCUUACGGGUGGCGAGUGGCGGACGGGUGAGGAAUACAUCGGAAUCUACUUUUUCGUGGGGGAUAACGUAGGGAAACUUACGCUAAUACCGCAUACGACCUACGGGUGAAAGCAGGGGAUCUUCGGACCUUGCGCGAUUGAAUGAGCCGAUGUCGGAUUAGCUAGUUGGCGGGGUAAAGGCCCACCAAGGCGACGAUCCGUAGCUGGUCUGAGAGGAGGAUCAGCGACACGGGAACUGAGACACGGACCAGACACCUACGGGAGGGAGCAGUGGGGAAUAUUGGACAAUGGGCGCAAGCCUGAUACAGCCAUACCGCGUGGGUGAAGAAGGCCUUCGGGUUGUAAAGCCCUUUUGUUGGGAAAGAAAAGCAGCAGGUUAAUACCCCGCUGUUCUGACGGUACCCAAAGAAUAAGCACCGGCUAACUUCGUG
Molecule: ribosomal RNA, 492 nt
Filed under: uncultured bacterium
Lineage: Bacteria
Description: partial 16S ribosomal RNA
Rfam family: Bacterial small subunit ribosomal RNA
Source: RNAcentral